UACGGAGGGGGCUAGCGUUGUUCGGAAUUACUGGGCGUAAAGCGCACGUAGGCGGCUUUGUAAGUUAGAGGUGAAAGCCCAGGGCUUAACCCUGGAAUUGCCUUUAAGACUGCAUCGCUAGAAUCGUGGAGAGGUGAGUGGAAUUCCGAGUGUAGAGGUGAAAUUCGUAGAUAUUCGGAAGAACACCAGUGGCGAAGGCGGCUCUCUGGACGGAUACUGACGCUGAGGCGCGAAAGCGUGGGGAUCAAACAGG
RNAcentral lists this ribosomal RNA (253 nucleotides) under uncultured bacterium. RNAcentral describes it as "partial 16S ribosomal RNA". It matches the Rfam family "Bacterial small subunit ribosomal RNA", at positions 524 to 776 of the family's 1533-position model. The record is from RNAcentral.